This 301-nucleotide ribosomal RNA is filed under the name uncultured bacterium. RNAcentral's name for it is "partial 16S ribosomal RNA". It matches the Rfam family "Bacterial small subunit ribosomal RNA", at positions 509 to 809 of the family's 1533-position model. The record is from RNAcentral.
CAGUAGCCGCGGUAAUACCGAGGGUGCGAGCGUUAAUCGGAUUUACUGGGCGUAAAGCGUGCGUAGGCGGCUUCUUAAGUCGGAUGUGAAAUCCCUGAGCUUAACUUAGGAAUUGCAUUCGAUACUGGGAAGCUAGAGUAUGGGAGAGGAUGGUAGAAUUCCAGGUGUAGCGGUGAAAUGCGUAGAGAUCUGGAGGAAUACCGAUGGCGAAGGCAGCCAUCUGGCCUAAUACUGACGCUGAGGUACGAAAGCAUGGGGAGCAAACAGGAUUAGAUACCCGCGUAGUCCCUGUCUCUUAUAA